RNAcentral lists this ribosomal RNA (314 nucleotides) under uncultured Enterobacter sp. RNAcentral's name for it is "bacterial SSU rRNA". It matches the Rfam family "Bacterial small subunit ribosomal RNA", at positions 505 to 815 of the family's 1533-position model. Lineage: Bacteria; Pseudomonadati; Pseudomonadota; Gammaproteobacteria; Enterobacterales; Enterobacteriaceae. The record is from RNAcentral.
GUGCCAGCAGCCGCGGUAAUACGGAGGGUGCAAGCGUUAAUCGGAAUUACUGGGCGUAAAGCGCACGCAGGCGGUCUGUCAAGUCGGAUGUGAAAUCCCCGGGCUCAACCCGGGAACUGCAUUCGAAACUGGCAGGCUUGAGUCUCGUAGAGGGGGGUAGAAUUCCAGGUGUAGCGGUGAAAUGCGUAGAGAUCUGGAGGAAUACCGGUGGCGAAGGCCGGCCCCCUGGACGAAGACUGACGCUCAGGUGCGAAAGCGGUGGGGAGCAAACAGGAUUAGAUACCCUGGUAGUCCACGACCGUAAACGAUGUCUA